UUUGGAGGGCAAGUCUGGUGCCAGCAGCCGCGGUAAUUCCAGCUCCAAUAGCGUAUAUUAAAGUUGUUGCAGUUAAAAAGCUCGUAGUUGAAUUUCGGGAUCAUCAGGUUGGUCGUGCCAUUGGUAUGUACUAGCUUUGGUGGUUCCUACCUCUUGAAGAACCGUAAUGUCAUUAAUUUGGUGUUGCGGGGAAUCAGGACUGUUACUUUGAAAAAAUUAGAGUGUUUAAAGCAGGC
RNAcentral lists this ribosomal RNA (236 nucleotides) under uncultured Sclerocystis. RNAcentral describes it as "partial small subunit ribosomal RNA". It matches the Rfam family "Eukaryotic small subunit ribosomal RNA", at positions 547 to 785 of the family's 1831-position model. The record is from RNAcentral. Lineage: Eukaryota; Fungi; Glomeromycota; Glomeromycetes; Glomerales; Glomeraceae.